GAUGAACGCUGGCGGCGUGCCUAAUACAUGCAAGUCGAGCGAACGGACGAGAAGCUUGCUUCUCUGAUGUUAGCGGCGGACGGGUGAGUAACACGUGGAUAACCUACCUAUAAGACUGGGAUAACUUCGGGAAACCGUAGCUAAUACCGGAUAAUAUUUUGAACCGCAUGGUUCAAAAGUGAAAGACGGUCUUGCUGUCACUUAUAGAUGGAUCCGAGCUGCAUUAGCUAGUUGGUAAGUUAACGGCUUACCAAGGCAACGAUGCAUAGCCGACCUGAGAGGGUGAUCGGCCACACUGGAACUGAGACACGGUCCAGACUCCUACGGGAGGCAGCAGUAGGGAAUCUUCCGCAAUGGGCGAAAGCCUGACGGAGCAACGCCGCGUGAGUGAUGAAGGUCUUCGGAUCGUAAAACUCUGUUAUUAGGGAAGAACAUAUGUGUAAGUAACUGUGCACAUCUUGACGGUACCUAAUCAGAAAGCCACGGCUAACUACGUG
Molecule: ribosomal RNA, 497 nt
Filed under: uncultured bacterium
Lineage: Bacteria
Description: partial 16S ribosomal RNA
Rfam family: Bacterial small subunit ribosomal RNA
Source: RNAcentral